UGCAAGUCGAACGGUAACAGGUUAAGCUGACGAGUGGCGAACGGGUGAGUAAUGUAUCGGAACGUGCCCAGUCGUGGGGGAUAACUGCUCGAAAGAGCAGCUAAUACCGCAUACGACCUGAGGGUGAAAGCGGGGGAUCGCAAGACCUCGCGCGAUUGGAGCGGCCGAUAUCAGAUUAGGUAGUUGGUGAGGUAAAGGCUCACCAAGCCGACGAUCUGUAGCUGGUCUGAGAGGACGACCAGCCACACUGGGACUGAGACACGGCCCAGACUCCUACGGGAGGCAGCAGUGGGGAAUUUUGGACAAUGGGCGCAAGCCUGAUCCAGCCAUGCCGCGUGCGGGAAGAAGGCCUUCGGGUUGUAAACCGCUUUUGUCAGGGAAGAAAAGGUUCUGGCUAAUACCUGGGACUCAUGACGGUACCUGAAGAAUAAGCACCGGCUAACUACGUGCCAGCAGCCGCGGUAAUACGUAGGGUGCAAGCGUUAAUCGGAAUUACUGGGCGUAAAGCGUGCGCAGGCGGUUAUGCAAGACAGAGGUGAAAUCCCCGGGCUCAACCUGGGAACUGCCUUUGUGACUGCAUGGCUAGAGUACGGUAGAGGGGGAUGGAAUUCCGCGUGUAGCAGUGAAAUGCGUAGAUAUGCGGAGGAACACCGAUGGCGAAGGCAAUCCCCUGGACCUGUACUGACGCUCAUGCACGAAAGCGUG
Molecule: ribosomal RNA, 705 nt
Filed under: uncultured Roseateles sp.
Lineage: Bacteria; Pseudomonadati; Pseudomonadota; Betaproteobacteria; Burkholderiales; Sphaerotilaceae
Description: bacterial SSU rRNA
Rfam family: Bacterial small subunit ribosomal RNA
Source: RNAcentral